RNAcentral lists this ribosomal RNA (465 nucleotides) under uncultured Selenomonas sp. Its description in RNAcentral is "bacterial SSU rRNA". It matches the Rfam family "Bacterial small subunit ribosomal RNA", at positions 338 to 795 of the family's 1533-position model. Lineage: Bacteria; Bacillati; Bacillota; Negativicutes; Selenomonadales; Selenomonadaceae. The record is from RNAcentral.
CCUACGGGAGGCAGCAGUGGGGAAUCUUCCGCAAUGGGCGCAAGCCUGACGGAGCAACGCCGCGUGAGUGAAGAAGGUCUUCGGAUCGUAAAGCUCUGUUGAUGGGGACGAACGUGCCUAAUGCGAAUAGUAUUAGGUAAUGACGGUACCCAUCGAGGAAGCCACGGCUAACUACGUGCCAGCAGCCGCGGUAAUACGUAGGUGGCGAGCGUUGUCCGGAAUCAUUGGGCGUAAAGGGAGCGCAGGCGGGCAUGUAAGUCUUUCUUAAAAGUUCGGGGCUCAACCCCGUGAUGGGAAAGAAACUAUAUGUCUUGAGUACAGGAGAGGAAAGCGGAAUUCCCAGUGUAGCGGUGAAAUGCGUAGAUAUUGGGAGGAACACCAGUGGCGAAGGCGGCUUUCUGGACUGCAACUGACGCUGAGGCUCGAAAGCCAGGGGAGCGAACGGGAUUAGAUACCCUGGUAGUC